GCAAACUGAGUUCCCCUUCCGUUCACACGCUUCGCAAUCCACGCGUUUUUAUACAUCUUAUAUCAUUGUCGGCUUUUGUUUUACGGCUGGUUGCUGGUUUAAUUAAUAAUGUAGAGGAUUUGGAUCAGUUGCAGCUCUGGAGCCGCGGAACGUUUGGGAUUCUGCAGAAAUGGAGCAGCCGAUCUUCACCACCAGAGCUCAUGCCUUCCAGAUCUGGA
Sinocyclocheilus rhinocerous is the source of this 218-nucleotide long non-coding RNA. RefSeq lists it as uncharacterized. The record is from RefSeq and is a predicted model, not a curated record. Lineage: Eukaryota; Metazoa; Chordata; Actinopteri; Cypriniformes; Cyprinidae. The transcript has 3 exons.